GUGGGGAAUCUUAGACAAUGGGGGAAACCCUGAUCUAGCCAUGCCGCGUGAGCGAUGAAGGCCUUAGGGUUGUAAAGCUCUUUCAGCUGGGAAGAUAAUGACGGUACCAGCAGAAGAAGCCCCGGCUAACUCCGUGCCAGCAGCCGCGGUAAUACGGAGGGGGCUAGCGUUGCUCGGAAUUACUGGGCGUAAAGCGCACGUAGGCGGAUCAGAAAGUCAGAGGUGAAAUCCCAGGGCUCAACCUUGGAACUGCCUUUGAAACUCCUGGUCUUGAGGUCGAGAGAGGUGAGUGGAAUUCCGAGUGUAGAGGUGAAAUUCGUAGAUAUUCGGAGGAACACCAGUGGCGAAGGCGGCUCACUGGCUCGAUACUGACGCUGAGGUGCGAAAGCGUGGGGAGCAAACAGGAUUAGAAACCCCAGUAGUCC
RNAcentral lists this ribosomal RNA (425 nucleotides) under uncultured bacterium. RNAcentral's name for it is "partial 16S ribosomal RNA". It matches the Rfam family "Bacterial small subunit ribosomal RNA", at positions 354 to 796 of the family's 1533-position model. The record is from RNAcentral.